CGCUGGCGGCGUGCUUAACACAUGCAAGUCGAACGGAAAGGCCCUGCUUUUGUGGGGUGCUCGAGUGGCGAACGGGUGAGUAACACGUGAGUAACCUGCCCUUGACUUUGGGAUAACUUCAGGAAACUGGGGCUAAUACCGGAUAGGAGCUCCUGCUGCAUGGUGGGGGUUGGAAAGUUUCGGCGGUUGGGGAUGGACUCGCGGCUUAUCAGCUUGUUGGUGGGGUAGUGGCUUACCAAGGCUUUGACGGGUAGCCGGCCUGAGAGGGUGACCGGCCACAUUGGGACUGAGAUACGGCCCAGACUCCUACGGGAGGCAGCAGUGGGGAAUAUUGCACAAUGGGCGGAAGCCUGAUGCAGCAACGCCGCGUGCGGGAUGACGGCCUUCGGGUUGUAAACCGCUUUCGCCUGUGACGAAGCGUGAGUGACGGUAAUGGGUAAAGAAGCACCGGCUAACUACGUGCCAGCAGCCGCGGUGAUACGUAGGGUGCGAGCGUUGUCCGGAUUUAUUGGGCGUAAAGGGCUCGUAGGUGGUUGAUCGCGUCGGAAGUGUAAUCUUGGGGCUUAACCCUGAGCGUGCUUUCGAUACGGGUUGACUUGAGGAAGGUAGGGGAGAAUGGAAUUCCUGGUGGAGCGGUGGAAUGCGCAGAUAUCAGGAGGAACACCAGUGGCGAAGGCGGUUCUCUGGGCCUUUCCUGACGCUGAAGAGCGAAAGCGUGGGGAGCGAACAGGCUUAGAUACCCUGGUAGUCCACGCUGUAAACGGUGGGUACUAGGUGUGGGGUCCAUUCCACGGGUUCCGUGCCGUAGCUAACGCUUUAAGUACCCCGCCUGGGGAGUACGGCCGCAAGGCUAAAACUCAAAGGAAUUGACGGGGCCCCGCACAAGCGGCGGAGCAUGCGGAUUAAUUCGAUGCAACGCGUAGAACCUUACCUGGGUUUGACAUGGAUCGGGAGUGCUCAGAGAUGGGUGUGCCUCUUUUGGGGUCGGUUCACAGGUGGUGCAUGGCUGUCGUCAGCUCGUGUCGUGAGAUGUUGGGUUAAGUCCCGCAACGAGCGCAACCCUUGUUCACUGUUGCCAGCACGUUAUGGUGGGGACUCAGUGGAGACCGCCGGGGUCAACUCGGAGGAAGGUGGGGAUGACGUCAAGUCAUCAUGCCCCUUAUGUCCAGGGCUUCACGCAUGCUACAAUGGCUGGUACAGAGAGUGGCGAGCCUGUGAGGGUGAGCGAAUCUCGGAAAGCCGGUCUCAGUUCGGAUUGGGGUCUGCAACUCGACCUCAUGAAGUCGGAGUCGCUAGUAAUCGCAGAUCAGCAACGCUGCGGUGAAUACGUUCCCGGGGCUUGUACACACCGCCCGUCAAGUCAUGAAAGUUGGUAACACCCGAAGCCGGUGGCCUAACCGUUGUGGGGGAGCCGUCGAAGGUGGGACUGGUGAUUAGG
Molecule: ribosomal RNA, 1438 nt
Filed under: uncultured organism
Description: 16S ribosomal RNA
Rfam family: Bacterial small subunit ribosomal RNA
Source: RNAcentral